This 443-nucleotide ribosomal RNA is filed under the name uncultured bacterium. RNAcentral's name for it is "partial 16S ribosomal RNA". It matches the Rfam family "Bacterial small subunit ribosomal RNA", at positions 338 to 795 of the family's 1533-position model. The record is from RNAcentral.
CCUACGGGUGGCUGCAGUGGGGAAUAUUGGGCAAUGGGCGCAAGCCUGACCCAGCAACGCCGCGUGAAGGAAGAAGGCUGUCGGGUUGUAAACUUCUUUUGUCAGGGACGAAGCAAGUGACGGUACCUGACUAAUAAGCCACGGCUAACUACUUGACAGCAGCCGCGGUAAUACGUAGGUGGCAAGCGUUAUCCGGAUUUACUGGGUGUAAAGGGCGUGUAGGCGGGACUGCAAGUCAGAUGUGAAAACCACGGGCUCAACCUGUGGCCUGCAUUUGAAACUGUAGUUCGUGAGUACUGGAGAGGCAGACGGAAUUCCUAGUGUAGCGGUGAAAUGCGUAGAUAUUAGGAGGAACACCAGUGGCGAAGGCGGUCUGCUGGACAGCAACUGACGCUGAGGCGCGAAAGCGUGGGGAGCAAACAGGAUUAGAUACCCGUGUAGUC